AUUGAACGCUGGCGGCAUGCUUUACACACGCAAGUCGAACGGUAACAGGUUAAGCUGACGAGUGGCGAACGGGUGAGUAAUGCAUCGGAACGUGCCCGAUCGUGGGGGAUAACGCAGCGAAAGCUGCGCUAAUACCGCAUACGAUCUGAGGAUGAAAGCGGGGGACCGUAAGGCCUCGCGCGAUCGGAGCGGCCGAUGUCAGAUUAGGUAGUUGGUGGGGUAAAGGCCCACCAAGCCGACGAUCUGUAGCUGGUCUGAGAGGACGACCAGCCACACUGGGACUGAGACACGGCCCAGACUCCUACGGGAGGCAGCAGUGGGGAAUUUUGAACAAUGGGCGAAAGCCUGAUCCAGCAAUGCCGCGUGCAGGAAGAAGGCCCUCGGGUUGUAAACUGCUUUUGUACGGAGCGAAAAGGUCCUUUCUAAUACAAGGGGCUCAUGACGGUACCGUAAGAAUAAGCACCGGCUAACUACGUGCCAGCCGCCGCCGUAA
This 493-nucleotide ribosomal RNA is filed under the name uncultured bacterium. Its description in RNAcentral is "partial 16S ribosomal RNA". It matches the Rfam family "Bacterial small subunit ribosomal RNA", at positions 29 to 523 of the family's 1533-position model. The record is from RNAcentral.